CUGCAGCAGUGGAGAGGUGGGGCAGGAUGACAGUUAUCACAAGUUGACGGAUCACUGAGCUCUCGCGUCGCGUCAUCACACUCCUCCCACCCGCUCCACUACCGUAGGAACCUACUCUGUUAUGCGUAGCUUUUACUUGAGCAU
Molecule: long non-coding RNA, 144 nt
Organism: Maniola jurtina (meadow brown)
Lineage: Eukaryota; Metazoa; Arthropoda; Insecta; Lepidoptera; Nymphalidae
Exons: 4
Source: RefSeq, a predicted model, not a curated record